This 571-nucleotide ribosomal RNA is filed under the name uncultured bacterium. RNAcentral describes it as "partial 16S ribosomal RNA". It matches the Rfam family "Bacterial small subunit ribosomal RNA", at positions 355 to 918 of the family's 1533-position model. The record is from RNAcentral.
UGGGGAAUUUUGGACAAUGGGCGAAAGCCUGAUCCAGCAAUGCCGCGUGUGUGAAGAAGGCCUUCGGGUUGUAAAGCACUUUUGUCCGGAAAGAAAUCCUCUGGGUUAAUACCUCGGGGGGAUGACGGUACCGGAAGAAUAAGCACCGGCUAACUACGUGCCAGCAGCCGCGGUAAUACGUAGGGUGCAAGCGUUAAUCGGAAUUACUGGGCGUAAAGCGUGCGCAGGCGGUUUUGUAAGACGGAUGUGAAAUCCCCGGGCUUAACCUGGGAACUGCAUUCGUGACUGCAAGGCUAGAGUAUGGCAGAGGGGGGUAGAAUUCCACGUGUAGCAGUGAAAUGCGUAGAGAUGUGGAGGAAUACCGAUGGCGAAGGCAGCCCCCUGGGCCAAUACUGACGCUCAUGCACGAAAGCGUGGGGAGCAAACAGGAUUCAGAUACCCUGGUAGUCCACGCCCUAAACGAUGUCAACUAGUUGUUGGGGAUUCAUUUCCUUAGUAACGUAGCUAACGCGUGAAGUUGACCGCCUGGGGAGUACGGUCGCAAGAUUAAAACUCAAAGGAAUUGACGGGG